AGAGUUUGAUCCUGGCUCAGGAUGAACGCUGGCGGCGUGCCUAAUACAUGCAAGUCGAGCGAACCACUUCGGUGGUGAGCGGCGAACGGGUGAGUAACACGUAGGUGAUCUGCCCAUCAGACGGGGACAACGAUUGGAAACGAUCGCUAAUACCGGAUAGGACGAAAGUUUAAAGGUGCUUCUGGCACCGCUGAUGGAUGAGCCUGCGGCGCAUUAGCUAGUUGGUAGGGUAAAGGCCUACCAAGGCGACGAUGCGUAGCCGACCUGAGAGGGUGAACGGCCACACUGGGACUGAGACACGGCCCAGACUCCUACGGGAGGCAGCAGUAGGGAAUCUUCGGCAAUGGGCGAAAGCCUGACCGAGCAACGCCGCGUGAAUGAUGAAGGCCUUCGGGUUGUAAAAUUCUGUUAUAAGGGAAGAAUGGCUCUAGUAGGAAAUGGCUAGAGUGUGACGGUACCUUAUGAGAAAGCCACGGCUAACUACGUGCCAGCAGCCGCGGUAAU
This 504-nucleotide ribosomal RNA is filed under the name uncultured bacterium. Its description in RNAcentral is "bacterial SSU rRNA". It matches the Rfam family "Bacterial small subunit ribosomal RNA", at positions 8 to 524 of the family's 1533-position model. The record is from RNAcentral.